This 75-nucleotide transfer RNA is filed under the name Candidatus Lokiarchaeum ossiferum. RNAcentral's name for it is "tRNA-Arg". It matches the Rfam family "tRNA". From Rfam's summary of the family: Transfer RNA (tRNA) molecules are approximately 80 nucleotides in length. Their secondary structure includes four short double-helical elements and three loops (D, anti-codon, and T loops). Further hydrogen bonds mediate the characteristic L-shaped molecular structure. tRNAs have two regions of fundamental functional importance: the anti-codon, which is responsible for specific mRNA codon recognition, and the 3' end, to which the tRNAs corresponding amino acid is attached (by aminoacyl-tRNA synthetases). tRNAs cope with the degeneracy of the genetic code in two manners: having more than one tRNA (with a specific anti-codon) for a particular amino acid; and 'wobble' base-pairing, i.e. permitting non-standard base-pairing at the 3rd anti-codon position. The record is from RNAcentral. Lineage: Archaea; Promethearchaeati; Promethearchaeota; Promethearchaeia; Promethearchaeales; Promethearchaeaceae.
AGGCCCGUUGUCUAGCCUGGAAGGGCGCUGGGUUGCGAACCCAGUUUUCGAGGGUUCAAAUCCCCCCGGGCCUAC